Molecule: transfer RNA, 72 nt
Filed under: Ictidomys tridecemlineatus (thirteen-lined ground squirrel)
Lineage: Eukaryota; Metazoa; Chordata; Mammalia; Rodentia; Sciuridae
Description: Spermophilus tridecemlineatus (thirteen-lined ground squirrel) tRNA
Rfam family: tRNA
About the family: Transfer RNA (tRNA) molecules are approximately 80 nucleotides in length.
Source: Rfam by way of RNAcentral
GGGGAUAUAACUCAGUUGGUAGAGUGCUUGCCUUGCAUGCACAAGGCCCUGGGUUCAAUCCUUGGUACCUCA